Strongylocentrotus purpuratus (purple sea urchin) is the source of this 73-nucleotide non-coding RNA. The record is from Rfam. Lineage: Eukaryota; Metazoa; Echinodermata; Echinoidea; Camarodonta; Strongylocentrotidae.
GGCAUGGCGGCUCAGUGGUAAGUGCGCCCGCCUCAAGAACGGGAGGUCGUGGGUUCGAACCCCGGCCGAGUCA